This is a long non-coding RNA of Lepisosteus oculatus (spotted gar), 1025 nucleotides long. RefSeq lists it as uncharacterized. The record is from RefSeq and is a predicted model, not a curated record. NCBI's taxonomy places the organism in Eukaryota, Metazoa, Chordata, Actinopteri, Semionotiformes, Lepisosteidae.
CUUAAAAAUAUUUCUUAGAGCACUUAGUUUGUAAGAUUGUGUGAAACCUUAAAGGUGAAAGAAGUUCAGUCUUUAGAUCAAGAGUUAAAGUCUAAUAUGGAAUGAUUUCAACAGUCUUUCAAGAUAUCACCACAAUCCUUAACAGCAAUAGUGGGGCUGGUGAAUGCAUCCAUGAAGAUCCCAUGCAGCAGAAUUAAUGCAUCUAAUUCCUUGAGGUUCUUCAGCACUAAUCAACCUGCUCUUAAACCUGUUAAGAAGAAUGGAUGGAUGAACAGAGCAGAUAAGGAAAGGAAGUAUCAGAUGCAGAUGUUGAUACAGUAUGUCAUACAAAGGAAUCAGGCCUUGGGGAGACCUUACACAUGAGCCGAACACCAAAGAAAGGAGCAACAUUCAUUUUGGUCAUUGUGAUCAUUAUUUUUGAGGAAUAGCAUAGUUGUAUUUUUUCCUGUUUGCCAGGGAAAGAUGGAAUUUCUCUCUCAUCUUGGAGUUGCAAGGUACAGGAAUAUUUAAGUAUUUCAGCACCACCUGCUCUCCAAUACUGGAACUAAAGUGUGAAAUUAUAUUUACGAAACAUAAUUUAUGACAGCUUGCAGAAAAAUAUGGAAUCUGUAACUUUUUCCCCACCAGCUUUUGUUAUUCCCUUGGUGUUUGCCAAAAUAUUUUGUGCCUUUCAUUUGUCCUGUCUUGGCAAGGUACUCUCUAUGGCUGUGUGAUUAAUUACUUCAUUAAAUAUGAAUAACGAAAAAUGAUCAGUGUGUUAAAGGAUUGACCAAAAUCUUAGAUCUUUGGCAAUCAAAAUGCUGUCAUAGAAAUUGUAUGGUAUACCUUAUGUUCUAGAGGUGCAUUUGAAAAUGUUCCUACUAUUUAUUUACAUUCACAACCACAGAAUACAACAUAAUAGAAUUAACUAUUGUUUAAGAUCAUUGUACUAGUAAAAGGUCAAGGAAGGAGAGAAAGUCAGGGUAAGAAUAAACGCUAUUGAAUGUUGUAGCUACAGUGCAAAUAUGUUAUAAGUCUGCAGGUUG